CCCGGUGAUCAUAUCGAAAAGGUCACACCUGUUCCCAUCCCGAACACAGUAGUUAAGCUUUUCGAGCCGAUGAUAGUGCCAAAAGUGCGAAAGUAGGUUUCGCCGGGU
Molecule: ribosomal RNA, 108 nt
Filed under: Pirellulaceae bacterium
Lineage: Bacteria; Pseudomonadati; Planctomycetota; Planctomycetia; Pirellulales; Pirellulaceae
Source: RNAcentral